RNAcentral lists this long non-coding RNA (415 nucleotides) under Zalophus californianus (California sea lion). Its description in RNAcentral is "lncRNA (ENSZCAG00015012786.1)". Lineage: Eukaryota; Metazoa; Chordata; Mammalia; Carnivora; Otariidae. The record is from RNAcentral.
UCUAUACUCUGCAUUCCAGCUAAUAUUUUAUUUUAAGUGUCCCUUAUAUUUGGGGCAGGUUUGGGAGACUCCGAUGUUAUACCAUAUUUCCUGAUAAAAUCAUGUUCAGCAAUUUUUUUUAAUCCCUUGAUAUUGCUAUUUAUCCCUAGAUGGUGUUCAAUGACAAAAGCCAAAUUAUUUGCAGAACUCCAGGACAUGCAUCUUUCUGCUGAGAAAACCAGUCAUUAUCAAAACCAACAGAAUUUGAAACAGUAUCUACAAUGUAAGAGUUCAGUACAUUUGGUUGGUUGACAAAGAGGGAGAGCUUUGUGGUAGAUGAUUCCAGAGGAAGAAGAAAGAAAAUGAACCAUGGGAGAGAAACAAGGUAAACACAAAACAGAAAUGUUUCUUGUUCAAGGGCAAAGAAAUACUCUCA